AUUGUUUUUCAAGUUUUGCCUCUUGAUCUCUGCCUAUAAAUUGAGGGCUUCAUAGCAGCCUGCAAAUCACCCCAUAACCACCAACACCACCAAGCAGAAGGAAAAUUUUGCUAGAGAGAGAGAAAAAUCUUGUGAGAAAAAACUUCAGUGUGGAAGUUAUACACGAGUGAUAAAAGUGAGUUGAGAGAUAGCUUCUGCGUAGGCAGAUACAAAAUACAGUGUGGUAUUUUUGUUGUACUCCUUCUUUUGAGAUUCUCUAAUAUAUUGGUGUGGGUCCGUGGACGUAGGCAGUUUGGCCGAACCACGUUAAAAAUAUCGGUGUCAUUUUUUCUUCGAUUCGUAUCGGUCGAUAUCUAAAAUAUUGCGUCAUACUAGAUCCAGGCCGGAAUUAGUUGUGUCUAAUUUCCCAGCAAAUGUAUGAAGUUGGUGUGGGACCCAACAGUGAGAUAUUACUAAUGCCUGAAAGGAUCUAAAUUGUCUGAAAAAAAUUCACAUUUUUAGGGAAAAAGAUCACAUUUGGUUCUGCAGAAAAGGGAAAAGGUAGAGAAGAUGAUGCAGAAAGAAUCCAAAUCAAGAACCCCAUCAACACAAAUGACCUCAACAGUUGCCAAGUAAAGUGACUUCAACACAGAUAUUUUGGAGUUGGUCAUAUAUGAUAGGAUCACUGGAUCAUCAAAUGUUUUGGGGGUUAAUAAAAUGAGUUUCAGAAUAGAAAACAUCUCAAAAUAUUUAUACAAUAAAGUCGAUAGUAUGUAGUUACUCUAUACACGGCAAAAAUAGAAAACGUGUUGGGAUGUACAUUUUUAUUUUAUUUUAUUUUUUAUUUUUUUGAAGUCGUACAAUCUUAGAUAUUAAUAAGCCUAAAUUCCGAAAU
Long non-coding RNA from Salvia miltiorrhiza (redroot sage), 874 nucleotides. RefSeq lists it as uncharacterized. The record is from RefSeq and is a predicted model, not a curated record. NCBI's taxonomy places the organism in Eukaryota, Viridiplantae, Streptophyta, Magnoliopsida, Lamiales, Lamiaceae. The transcript is spliced from 2 exons.